RNAcentral lists this ribosomal RNA (245 nucleotides) under uncultured bacterium. Its description in RNAcentral is "partial 16S ribosomal RNA". It matches the Rfam family "Bacterial small subunit ribosomal RNA", at positions 524 to 768 of the family's 1533-position model. The record is from RNAcentral.
UACGUAUGGGGCAAGCGUUAUCCGGAUUUAUUGGGCGUAAAGAGCGCGUAGGCGGUUUGUUAAGCGCGAUGUGAAAACUGGGGGCUCAACCCGCAGCUUGCAUCGUGAACUGGCAGACUUGAGUCUGGUAGAGGAGUGUGGAAUUCCCAGUGUAGCGGUGAAAUGCGCAGAUAUUGGGAGGAACACCAGUGGCGAAGGCGGCACUCUGGGCCACGACUGACGCUGAGGCGCGAAAGCUAGGGGAG